Molecule: long non-coding RNA, 269 nt
Filed under: Homo sapiens (human)
Lineage: Eukaryota; Metazoa; Chordata; Mammalia; Primates; Hominidae
Description: HSALNT0005966
Source: RNAcentral
GGGCGAGGUGAAGCAGCUCUGGGUGGGCAGCACAGGCUGAGGCUUGGGGCUCACUAUCAUUAGAUAACUCUUAGAGUGACCAGCUAGCACCCUAAUUCUUCUCCAGCCCUCAGCUUCCUCUCCGGCAGCCUGGGGUGAAGGCCUCUGUAGGACCAAGUGUGUCCAGCUAUAACUCCUUCCAGCCACUUCUGGCAUCUCCAGACCUACAACGCAGAGCAGGAAGGUUCUGGGAAAAGAGGACCCCUCUCUCCCCUCCAGCUGUGUGACCU